UACGUAGGGUGCAAGCGUUGUCCGGAAUUAUUGGGCGUAAAGAGCUCGUAGGCGGUUUGUCGCGUCGAAUGUGAAAACCCGGGGCUCAACCCCGGGCCUGCAUUCGACACGGGCAGACUAGAGUUCGGUAGGGGAGUCUGGAAUUCCUGGUGUAGCGGUGAAAUGCGCAGAUAUCAGGAGGAACACCGGUGGCGAAGGCGGGACUCUGGGCCGAUACUGACGCUGAGGAGCGAAAGCGUGGGGAGCGAACAGG
This 253-nucleotide ribosomal RNA is filed under the name uncultured bacterium. RNAcentral describes it as "partial 16S ribosomal RNA". It matches the Rfam family "Bacterial small subunit ribosomal RNA", at positions 524 to 776 of the family's 1533-position model. The record is from RNAcentral.